RNAcentral lists this unclassified non-coding RNA (387 nucleotides) under Hevea brasiliensis (rubber tree). The record is from RNAcentral. Lineage: Eukaryota; Viridiplantae; Streptophyta; Magnoliopsida; Malpighiales; Euphorbiaceae.
GAUUUUCUUCCCAGUGAUUGCAACUCGGCUCAAAUGACUUGUUUACUCGCUAGUACUUGUGUCAAAUUUUCUUCAUCUAUUUUCAGAAACACCGCCUGUAUGGAAAAAGUACAUGCUGUCUUUCCUAAAGUAAUGAGUAGAUUUUGGUUCCUGCAGUUGAACUGGUGCAUGUAACAAUAAACUUAUCUCUCAGCCAGUUCCUUUCCUCUGGGUUUGUUUUCAACUUUAAUGAUGAUUCCCUUUUAUGGGCUUUGGCUUCCUCAUACAGGAGGAAUCUCUUUAUUUAUGCUCUUACAUAUGGUUUUUAAUUCACUUGAGAGUAAUGUGUAGAAUCAUUUUAGGCAAUGUACCUUUAGGUGAAUACUAACUCCGCCUAAGUAGUUUGCG